CUUAACCGGUAUGGUUAUAUGGACGUACAGUCUUCACUACUUAAUAAUUGGAUUGUUUUCUCAAAGCAAAACUUUUAUGUGUAGUGUUCUUGGCUUUUAUGUGGGGAAAAACUCUUAGGACAAUUCUUAUCAUCACACACUAGUUUUAUGAACAAGGCGAAUGUAUUUCAAAUGCAUUCUUUAAACUUAUUUCGUCUGGGAAUCAAUACUUUAAUUUAAAUUACAUUACUGGUAGUCAUAACUGUUUGCCUUAUAUCAUGUUAUAUUGUUUAGGUUGAUUUAUAUGAUAACAUAUCACAGAAUUUUCACUUUUUAAUCAAAUACUCAGUUAAUAACAAAACCAUAUUGGUGACAUCACUUUUAUUACCCAUUGUGUUGUUUAGAUUAUUCUGUUUUUAUAUACCAUUAAGUAUCUUAGUUUUGUUUAAUUAGGAAAAACCUACUGGUAACCAUGGAAACUAAAAACUAUUUUACUGUUAUCAUGGUAAUGUAAAAUGAUUAUUAAACUAUUGAGUACCAAUCCAUACAUUGAUUUCUCAAAAUAUGUGGCACCCUUGAUUUCCAUUUUUAUCAGAAGUAUUUAUUAAUUUGCUCAAAUUUUCAUUUAAGAAUUGAUUUAGUUGUGAAGAAAUAAUUUUGCUCAAAAUUGAAUUUAACGUUUUCAGCCAAAUGUUCUUCAUUUUAUCUUACACUGCAUUUUUGUACAGCAUAUCUGUUUUAACAAAAAUUUAAGGAUUAUUGACCACAAUUUUACCCAAUAAAGAAAAAAAUAUUGUAAUUGAAGAAUACAAAAACAUGUACACUGUCAAAGGCAGAUAUAAAUGAACAUCUUAAUCAUUGAUUAAGUAACAUAUGUUAGCAAAGACAAAUUAAGCAGAAAGAUGUUUUUUGCAGAUAAAUGAUAUGGAACUAGCAAUAGGAAGUCACCUAAAUUUUAUAUUUAAAGCUCCUAAAUUUCAUGCUGGUAGACUUCCCUUCAGUGGAUAUCAGAUUGUAUGUAGGGUUGUCAGAUAAAAAAUAAUUAAAUACUGCUAAAAUGAAAACACUUAAGUAAUCUGUAAUUUUAUUGGUCCACAAGUUACUUAAGUGACUUAGUGUUGUUGAAUACACAAUAAAUAUAAAUAUCAGUUACUAAAAAAAUAUUUUGCAAUAAUACAGCAUUAUUAAAGGGGAGACUACUCUUUAUCAGUCAACAAUCAGCAUUUAUAAUUUGAAAAGUAGCCCACACAACAAGCACAAGGUCAAAUAUUACAUUAACUAGCAGUUCUUAAUGCAAAUGAUUUUCUAUGAAAUAUCACUAUGUUACAGGGGUAGAACAUGAAAAGGUAGUAAUUCUAAGUAGAACAAGGGCCAGAUAUACAUAUGAACCUUGACUAAGUUCAGAAUGUUGACACCUGACAAGCUGCUGUGUGUCAGUUAUAAGAAGUUCUGAUUUUCAUGAGUUUAUGGUAACCAUGCAUGCAUGGGCUUCCAUGUAACACUUAUUUUCAAUUUCAAGUGUUGUUAAUGUUCAUUUGGUUAAAACAAGAGUGUAAUGUCCAGAAGUCAACCUUUUUGGGAGGAAAUUACUCCAUACAAUGUCCAGAAGUCAACCUUUUUGGGAGGAAAUUACUCCACACAAACUACAUUGAUUUUAACAGAAUUGUCUUGUGUGUUUCAUUGUCAACAUAGUUAUAUUAAUAGUAAAUUUUUUCAUUAAAACAUUGUCAUCUUUUUAGACGUAUGACCAAUUAUUUAAUGAAAAUAUAUCAAAUGCGAUAUUUAAUUAACCAUAAAAAUAUCAAAAUGAAUAUUUUCUAUCAAAAAUUAAGACAAUUCCUCUAUAAACC
This 1829-nucleotide long non-coding RNA is filed under the name Mytilus galloprovincialis (Mediterranean mussel). Lineage: Eukaryota; Metazoa; Mollusca; Bivalvia; Mytilida; Mytilidae. The record is from RNAcentral.